Molecule: ribosomal RNA, 292 nt
Filed under: uncultured bacterium
Lineage: Bacteria
Description: partial 16S ribosomal RNA
Rfam family: Bacterial small subunit ribosomal RNA
Source: RNAcentral
GUGCCAGCAGCCGCGGUAAUACAGAGGGGGCAAGCGUUAUUCGGAAUUAUUGGGCGUAAAGGGCGCGUAGGCGGCUAUUCAAGUGGCGGGUGAAAUCCCUCGGCUUAACCGAGGAACUGCCUGCCAGACUGGAUGGCUUGAGACCGGGAGAGGUGAGUGGAAUUCCCAGUGUAGCGGUGAAAUGCGUAGAUAUUGGGAGGAACACCAGUGGCGAAGGCGGCUCACUGGACCGGUACUGACGCUGAGGCGCGAAAGCGUGGGGAGCAAACAGGAUUAGAUACCCUCGUAGUCC